GAUGAACGCUGGCGGCGUGCUUAACACAUGCAAGUCGAACGGAAAGGCUCCUGCUUGCAGGGGUACUCGAGUGGCGAACGGGUGAGUAACACGUGGGUGAUCUGCCCUGCACUUCGGGAUAAGCCUGGGAAACUGGGUCUAAUACCGGAUAGGACCACAUUUUGGAUGGUGUGGUGGAAAGUUUUUCGGUGUGGGAUGAGCUCGCGGCCUAUCAGCUUGUUGGUGGGGUAAUGGCCUACCAAGGCGUCGACAGGUAGCCGGCCUGAGAGGGUGUACGGCCACAUUGGGACUGAGAUACGGCCCAGACUCCUACGGGAGGCAGCAGUGGGGAAUAUUGCACAAUGGGCGCAAGCCUGAUGCAGCGACGCCGCGUGGGGGAUGACGGCCUUCGGGUUGUAAACUCCUUUCGCUAGGGACGAAGCGCAAGUGACGGUACCUGGAGAAGAAGCACCGGCUAACUACGUG
This 465-nucleotide ribosomal RNA is filed under the name uncultured bacterium. RNAcentral describes it as "partial 16S ribosomal RNA". It matches the Rfam family "Bacterial small subunit ribosomal RNA", at positions 28 to 507 of the family's 1533-position model. The record is from RNAcentral.